AUUGAACGCUGGCGGCAGGCCUAACACAUGCAAGUCGAGCGGAUGAAGGGAGCUUGCUCCUGGAUUCAGCGGCGGACGGGUGAGUAAUGCCUAGGAAUCUGCCUGGUAGUGGGGGAUAACGUCCGGAAACGGGCGCUAAUACCGCAUACGUCCUGAGGGAGAAAGUGGGGGAUCUUCGGACCUCACGCUAUCAGAUGAGCCUAGGUCGGAUUAGCUAGUUGGUGGGGUAAAGGCCUACCAAGGCGACGAUCCGUAACUGGUCUGAGAGGAUGAUCGGUCACACUGGAACUGAGACACGGUCCAGACUCCUACGGGAGGCAGCAGUGGGGAAUAUUGGACAAUGGGCGAAAGCCUGAUCCAGCCAUGCCGCGUGUGUGAAGAAGGUCUUCGGAUUGUAAAGCACUUUAAGUUGGGAGGAAGGGCAGUAAGUUAAUACCUCGCUGUUUUGACGUUACCAACAGAAUAAGCACCGGCUAACUUCGUG
This 484-nucleotide ribosomal RNA is filed under the name uncultured bacterium. RNAcentral describes it as "partial 16S ribosomal RNA". It matches the Rfam family "Bacterial small subunit ribosomal RNA", at positions 30 to 507 of the family's 1533-position model. The record is from RNAcentral.